This 345-nucleotide unclassified non-coding RNA is filed under the name soil metagenome. RNAcentral describes it as "partial contains 5.8S ribosomal RNA, internal transcribed spacer 2, and large subunit ribosomal RNA". The stretch from base 1 to 120 matches the Rfam family "5.8S ribosomal RNA", at positions 35 to 154 of the family's 154-position model. The record is from RNAcentral.
GAUGAAGAACGCAGCGAAAUGCGAUACGUAAUGUGAAUUGCAGAAUUCAGUGAAUCAUCGAGUCUUUGAACGCACAUUGCGUCCCCUGGUAUUCCGGGGGGCAUGCCUGUCCGAGCGUCAUUGCUGCCCUCAAGCACGGCUUGUGUGUUGGGCCUCCGUCCUCCUCCCGGGGGACGGGCCCGAAAGGCAGCGGCGGCACCGCGUCCGGUCCUCGAGCGUAUGGGGCUUCGUCACCCGCUGUUGUAGGCCCGGCCGGCGCUUGCCGACACAUCAAUCUUUUUUCCAGGUUGACCUCGGAUCAGGUAGGGAUACCCGCUGAACUUAAGCAUAUCAAUAAGCGGAGGA